This 279-nucleotide ribosomal RNA is filed under the name uncultured bacterium. Its description in RNAcentral is "partial 16S ribosomal RNA". It matches the Rfam family "Bacterial small subunit ribosomal RNA", at positions 506 to 784 of the family's 1533-position model. The record is from RNAcentral.
UGCCAGCAGCCGCGGUAAUACGGAGGGAGCGAACGUUGUUCGGAUUAACUGGGCGUAAAGGGCGUGUAGGCGGUCUAGCAAGUCAGGGGUGAAAUGUCUCGGCUCAACCGAGGACCUGCCUUUGAAACUGCUGGACUUGAGGUCGUGAGAGGAGACUGGAAUUCCUAGUGUAGCGGUGAAAUGCAUAGAUAUUAGGAAGAACACCAGUGGCGAAGGCGAGUCUCUGGCACGAUUCUGACGCUGAUGCGCGAAAGCUAGGGGAGCGAACGGGAUUAGAUA